AACCGUAAAAUUGCCAUUGAGGCUGAGGGUCUUGAGUGUAAAUGAGGUAGGCAAAAUGUGUUGUGUAGCGGUGAAAUGCUUAGAUAUAACACAGAACACCAAUUGCGAAGGCAGCUUACUGGGAUACAACUGACGCUGAGGCACGAAAGCGUGGGGAUCAAACAGGAUUAGAUACCCUGGUAGUCCACGCAGUAAAC
RNAcentral lists this ribosomal RNA (197 nucleotides) under uncultured Paludibacter sp. Its description in RNAcentral is "partial 16S ribosomal RNA". It matches the Rfam family "Bacterial small subunit ribosomal RNA", at positions 611 to 807 of the family's 1533-position model. The record is from RNAcentral. Lineage: Bacteria; Pseudomonadati; Bacteroidota; Bacteroidia; Bacteroidales; Paludibacteraceae.